ACCAGGAUUGCCAAGUGGUUAAGGCGUUGGACUUAAGAUCCAAUGGUCCUAUGUCUGCGUGGGUUUGAGCCCCACUUCUGGUA
Molecule: non-coding RNA, 83 nt
Organism: Anguilla anguilla (European eel)
Lineage: Eukaryota; Metazoa; Chordata; Actinopteri; Anguilliformes; Anguillidae
Source: the annotation of a RefSeq genome assembly